AUUGAACGCUGGCGGCAGGCCUAACACAUGCAAGUCGAGCGGAUGAAGGGAGCUUGCUCCUGGAUUCAGCGGCGGACGGGUGAGUAAUGCCUAGGAAUCUGCCUGGUAUUGGGGGAUAACGUCCGGAAACGGGCGCUAAUACCGCAUACGUCCUGAGGGAGAAAGUGGGGGAUCUUCGGACCUCACGCUAUCAGAUGAGCCUAGGUCGGAUUAGCUAGUUGGUGGGGUAAAGGCCUACCAAGGCGACGAUCCGUAACUGGUCUGAGAGGAUGAUCAGUCACACUGGAACUGAGACACGGUCCAGGCUCCUACGGGAGGCAGCAGUGGGGAAUAUUGGACAAUGGGCGAAAGCCUGAUCCAGCCAUGCCGCGUGUGUGAAGAAGGUCUUCGGAUUGUAAAGCACUUUAAGUUGGGAGGAAGGGCAGUAAGUUAAUACCUUGCUGUUUUGACGUUACCAACAGAAUAAGCACCGGCUAACUUCGUG
This 484-nucleotide ribosomal RNA is filed under the name uncultured bacterium. RNAcentral describes it as "partial 16S ribosomal RNA". It matches the Rfam family "Bacterial small subunit ribosomal RNA", at positions 30 to 507 of the family's 1533-position model. The record is from RNAcentral.